GAUGAAGAACGCAGCGAAAUGCGAUACUUGGUGUGAAUUGCAGAAUCCCGUGAACCAUCGAGUCUUUGAACGCAAGUUGCGCCCGAAGCCAUUAGGCCGAGGGCACGCCUGCCUGGGCGUCACACGUCGUUGCCCCCCCAUCUACUCCUUCGGGAUUGUGGGGGGCGGAUGAUGGCCUCUCGUGCGCCUCGUCGCGCGGUUGGCCUAAAUGCCAAGUCCUCGGCGACGCACGCCACGACAAUCGGUGGUUGCGAAACCUCGGUUGCCUGUCGUGUGCGGUCGUCGCGCAUCGAGGGCUCGAAAAAAUUGCCGGGCUUCGGCUCGACUUUCAACGCGACCCCAGGUCAGGCGGGGUUACCCGCUGAAUUUAAGCAUAUCAAUAAGCGGAGGA
RNAcentral lists this unclassified non-coding RNA (391 nucleotides) under soil metagenome. RNAcentral describes it as "partial contains 5.8S ribosomal RNA, internal transcribed spacer 2, and large subunit ribosomal RNA". The stretch from base 1 to 122 matches the Rfam family "5.8S ribosomal RNA", at positions 35 to 154 of the family's 154-position model. The record is from RNAcentral.